ACUACGGGUGGCAGCAGUGAGGAAUAUUGGUCAAUGGGCGGAAGCCUGAACCAGCCAAGUAGCGUGCAGGAUGACGGCCCUACGGGUUGUAAACUGCUUUUAUACGGGAAUAACGCGCCUUACGUGUAGGGCUUUGCAUGUACCGUAUGAAUAAGGACCGGCUAAUUCCGUGCCAGCAGCCGCGGUAAUACGGAAGGUCCGGGCGUUAGCCGGAUUCAUUGGGUUUAAAGGGAGCGUAGGCCGCAUGUCAAGCGUGCUGUGAAAUGUCCGGGCUCAACCCGGGCCUUGCAGCGCGAACUGGCGUGCUUGAGUCCGCGGAAAGCAGGCGGAAUUCGUCGUGUAGCGGUGAAAUGCUUAGAUAUGACGAAGAACCCCGAUUGCGAAGGCAGCUUGCUGCAGCGGAACUGACGCUGAUGCUCGAAAGCGCGGGUAUCGAACAGGAUUAGAUACCCCUGUAGUC
This 460-nucleotide ribosomal RNA is filed under the name uncultured bacterium. RNAcentral describes it as "partial 16S ribosomal RNA". It matches the Rfam family "Bacterial small subunit ribosomal RNA", at positions 338 to 795 of the family's 1533-position model. The record is from RNAcentral.